GACGUUGUAAAAACGACGGCCAGUGAAUUGUAAUACGACUCACUAUAGGGCGAAUUGGGCCCUCUAGAUGCAUGCUCGAGCGGCCGCCAGUGUGAUGGAUAUCUGCAGAAUUCGGCUUCCUACGGGAGGCAGCAGUGGGGAAUUUUCCGCAAUGGGCGCAAGCCUGACGGAGCAAGACCGCGUGGGGGAGGAAGACUCUUGGGUUGUAAACCCCUUUUCUCAGGGAAGAACAAAUGACGGUACCUGAGGAAUCAGCCUCGGCUAACUCCGUGCCAGCAGCCGCGGUAAUAAGCCGAAUUCCAGCACACUGGCGGCCGUUACUAGUGGAUCCGAGCUCGGUACCAAGCUUGGCGUAAUCAUGGUCAUAGCUGUUUCCUGUG
This 380-nucleotide ribosomal RNA is filed under the name uncultured bacterium. RNAcentral's name for it is "bacterial SSU rRNA". The stretch from base 1 to 304 matches the Rfam family "Bacterial small subunit ribosomal RNA", at positions 202 to 539 of the family's 1533-position model. The record is from RNAcentral.